Non-coding RNA from Rattus norvegicus (Norway rat), 1334 nucleotides. The record is from RefSeq and is a predicted model, not a curated record. NCBI's taxonomy places the organism in Eukaryota, Metazoa, Chordata, Mammalia, Rodentia, Muridae.
AGUAGUCAUGAGGAGAGAGUGGCCAAUGGUGGCUCAUCAUGGAGGAGCCCACUUCCACUAGACCACUGAGUCAACCUGCAUUUGAGACAGCUGGUGAGAUGGAUACUAGCCCAGCAUUUUAUACAAGAAGCUGAAAUUGUGCCAGUGUGGAAUAACAGUUGAAGUUAACUAUCAUGCUGAACAAGAGACUUCAGCUUGGAGUCUCUGAAGCUACGCACAGGGGUAACAGAAAUUGCUGGACAGGGAACUCACAGAAACAGAGAAGGUUCUGGAUACCCUGGAAUGGAAACCCUGACUAAGACAAUGGGGAAAACUCUAGUCUCAAGAACGACAUUACCUUCGUGGCCGUGGGGAAAGAAGGCUCAGGUUAGCACAAGAAAGGAGCCAGCCAAUAGAAGAAGACUCAGAACUUUUCUGUCUUGAACUCAAUGUAACCUCAAAGCAUGCAUGAGAAAAGCCUUGGACUCUGUACAUAGGAGCAGCACACACUAGAGGGAAGUGGAGUUAUCAUCGGAGAAGCUGCUUUGCACCCCACAGUGAAUGAGCUACUCAGAGACAGCCUGACUACAAGCAAGUGCUAUGGACUAUCCAUCAACGGUCAAGUGGGGAAUCAGCCCCAUUCCUCUGGGACCUUGAAGAAGGGCCUCUCACUCUGCCACAUGGGCCUGAUCUCUCCUCAGAGACCAUGCUGCAUCCUGCCUGCUUGUCUACUUGGCCCUGUUCUGUAUCAGUUUCUUCCAAGACUGAAACAUUCCAUUCCAAAAGGAAGUUCUUUAAGCAGAGAGGUAAAUAAAUCAAAAACAGAUUCAGGAAGUCCCUGAAACUGACCAGAUUCACAAGGCCUCUUCCUGCCAGAGUAAACGACAAAAGCCAAGAGUCCCUUUCACAAAUGCACAGCCACGCUUCAAAGACUCUCAGACAAGCUGAGCUGCAAAGGAGACUCUCAGACCAGACAAGCUGCCUGGAAGAAGUAGAAGCAGGCCACGAUGCCUCAAAAAUAUUUACAUCAGCUGAGGCACCGGGAAAACACAUUCUCCAACUUGUUGAGCUACCUGCAGUGUGCUCCAGGUCCCCAGCUCUGUGAGCUGUCACCCAUGCUGGGUUGAGCUUUGGAGAUGCAGAGGUCUCUGAAUCAUUUCUGCUCCUAUAAGUAGCCCCUCACUCAUACUCCUGCUAGUAUCCCCAAGAAAACUCAUUGCUUUGCCAAGUCGGGCUUUGGUCUGCUGUGGGUUCCCUCUCUGGGGUGAGUCAAUAUGGAUGUUGUAUCUCCUCAGGAAAAGUUUUGUUACCCAAAAGGUGUUGGUGGCCCUGCUAAACAAAUCUCUUAUUCCAAA